UCAGACGAUGCGUCAUGCAUAUCAAUAAGCGGAGGAAAAGAAACUAACAUAGGAUUCCCUCAGUAACGGCGAGUGAAGGCGGGAAGAGCUCAAAUUUGAAAUCUUCAAGGUUUUACCUUGACGAAUUGUAGUUUAAAGAAGUGUUUUCUGUUGAAGUUUUGGUAAAAGUUCUUUGGAAUAGGACAUCAUAGAGGGUGGGAAUCCCGUAUUUGACCACUAUUUUCAGCUGUGUGAUACACUUUCAAAGAGUCGGAUUGUUUGGGAAUGCAGUCCAAAAUGGGUGGUAAAUUUCAUCUAAAGCUAAAUAUUGGCGAGAGACCGAUAGCGAACAAGUACCGUGAGGGAAAGAUGAAAAGAACUUUGAAAAGAGAGUUAAACAGUACGUGAAAUUGUCAAAAGGGAAGCGUUUGACACCAGUGUUGUUUUCUCGAAAAUCAAUUAAAAAGAGUUGGAUUUUGUGUUGUAUUGACCUUUAUCAGCUUUCUGCACUCUUUUUCCUGCUUUUUUUAAUGCACUUUUCGUUUAACAAGUCAACAUCAGUUUCUUUUGUUGUAAAAGGGUCAUUGGAAGGUGGCUUUCUCUUCGGAGAAAGUGUUUAUAGCCUUUGAUCUCUGCAAUCGGAGAGACUGAGGUCUGCAGCGUAGAUCCUUCGGGGUUAGAUACAUUUGUGCUAAGCUACAGCUUUUCAUAGACAACUUGUUGACUAUGUUUAGUCUUGUAACUUACCCGCUUAUGCUAUUUUACCUACGCUUAGGAUGUUGAUAUGCAUGACUGAUAU
RNAcentral lists this ribosomal RNA (778 nucleotides) under uncultured Neocallimastigales. RNAcentral describes it as "partial large subunit ribosomal RNA". It matches the Rfam family "Eukaryotic large subunit ribosomal RNA", at positions 18 to 635 of the family's 3401-position model. The record is from RNAcentral. Lineage: Eukaryota; Fungi; Neocallimastigomycota; Neocallimastigomycetes; Neocallimastigales.